This 520-nucleotide ribosomal RNA is filed under the name uncultured Diversispora. Its description in RNAcentral is "SSU rRNA". It matches the Rfam family "Eukaryotic small subunit ribosomal RNA", at positions 569 to 1089 of the family's 1831-position model. Lineage: Eukaryota; Fungi; Glomeromycota; Glomeromycetes; Diversisporales; Diversisporaceae. The record is from RNAcentral.
AGCAGCCGCGGUAAUUCCAGCUCCAAUAGCGUAUAUUAAAGUUGUUGCAGUUAAAAAGCUCGUAGUUGAACUUCGGGAUUUGCCCAUUGGUCAGGCUUAACUGUCUGCACUGGUGUGACGAGUUCCUACCUUCUGAGGAAUCUCCAUGUCAUUCAGUUGGUGUGGGGGGAAAUCAGGACUGUUACUUUGAAAAAUUAGAGUGUUUAAAGCAGGCGUCCGUCUGAAUACAUUAGCAUGGAAUAAUAAAAUAGGACGGUUUGGUUCUAUUUUGUUGGUUUCUAGGAUCACCGUAAUGAUUAAUAGGGAUAGUUGGGGGCAUUAGUAUUCAAUUGUCAGAGGUGAAAAUUCUUGGAUUUAUUGAAGACUAACUACUGCGAAAGCAUUUGCCAAGGAUGUUUUCAUUAAUCAAGAACGAAAGUUAGGGGAUCGAAGACGAUCAGAUACCGUCGUAGUCUUAACCAUAAACUAUGCCGACUAGGGAUCGGACGAAGUUAAUUUUUAAUGACUCGUUCGGCACCUU